Molecule: ribosomal RNA, 805 nt
Filed under: Clostridioides difficile
Lineage: Bacteria; Bacillati; Bacillota; Clostridia; Peptostreptococcales; Peptostreptococcaceae
Description: partial 23S ribosomal RNA
Rfam family: Bacterial large subunit ribosomal RNA
Source: RNAcentral
GAUGGACAACAGGUUGAUAUUCCUGUACUACCGAUAACCGUUUGAGAGAAGGGAUGACACAGUAGGAUAAGCUAAGCACACUGUUGGUUAUGUGUGCCCAAGCAUUGAGGCAGUCAAAGUAGGCAAAUCCGCUUUGAUAAUGCUGGGAUGUGAUGGGGAGCGAAAUUUAGUAGCGAAGUAGCUGAUUUCACACUGUCAAGAAAAGUCUCUAUCGAGGUUAAAGGUACCCGUACCGCAAACCGACACAGGUGGGUGAGGAGAGUAUCCUAAGGCCAGCGAGAGAACUGUUGUUAAGGAACUCGGCAAAAUGACCCCGUAACUUAGGGAUAAGGGGUGCCACCAUCAGGUGGCCGCAGAGAAUAGGCCCAAGCGACUGUUUACCAAAAACAUAGGUUUCUGCUAAGUCGCAAGACGAUGUAUAGGAGCUGACGCCUGCCCGGUGCUGGAAGGUUAAGGGGAUCUGUUAGAGCAAUCGAAGCAGUGAACUUAAGCCCCAGUAAACGGCGGCCGUAACUAUAACGGUCCUAAGGUAGCGAAAUUCCUUGUCGGGUAAGUUCCGACCCGCACGAAAGGCGUAACGAUUUGGGCACUGUCUCAACAACAGACUCGGUGAAAUUGUAAUUCCGGUGAAGAUGCCGGAUACCUGCGACAGGACGGAAAGACCCCAUGGAGCUUUACUGUAGCUUGACAUUGGGUCUUGGUACUACAUGUACAGGAUAGGUGGGAGGCUUUGAAACCAGGACGCCAGUUUUGGCGGAGCCAUCCUUGGGAUACCACCCUUGUAGUACUGGGACUCUAACCAUAG